GAUGAACGCUGGCGGCGUGCCUAAUACAUGCAAGUCGAGCGAACGGACGAGAAGCUUGCUUCUCUGAUGUUAGCGGCGGACGGGUGAGUAACACGUGGAUAACCUACCUAUAAGACUGGGAUAACUUCGGGAAACCGGAUCUAAUACCGGAUAAUAUUUUGAACCGCAUGGUUCAAAAGUGAAAGACGGUCUUGCUGUCACUUAUAGAUGGAUCCGCGCUGCAUUAGCUAGUUGGUAAGGUAACGGCUUACCAAGGCAACGAGGCAUAGCCGACCUGAGAGGGUGAUCGGCCACACUGGAACUGAGACACGGUCCAGACUCCUACGGGAGGCAGCAGUAGGGAAUCUUCCGCAAUGGGCGAAAGCCUGACGGAGCAACGCCGCGUGAGUGAUGAAGGUCUUCGGAUCGUAAAGCUCUGUUAUUAGGGAAGAACAUAUGUGUAAGUAACUGUGCACAUCUUGACGGUACCUAAUCAGAAAGCCACGGCUAACUACGUG
This 497-nucleotide ribosomal RNA is filed under the name uncultured bacterium. RNAcentral describes it as "partial 16S ribosomal RNA". It matches the Rfam family "Bacterial small subunit ribosomal RNA", at positions 28 to 507 of the family's 1533-position model. The record is from RNAcentral.